GCCGGUGUAGCUCAGUCUGGUAGAGCAGCUGAUUUGUAAUCAGCUAGUCGGGGGUUCAAAUCCUCUCGCCGGCUCCA
RNAcentral lists this transfer RNA (77 nucleotides) under Actinomycetota bacterium. Its description in RNAcentral is "Actinobacteria bacterium (aquatic metagenome) tRNA-Thr". It matches the Rfam family "tRNA". From Rfam's summary of the family: Transfer RNA (tRNA) molecules are approximately 80 nucleotides in length. The record is from RNAcentral. Lineage: Bacteria; Bacillati; Actinomycetota.